UAGAACACAUAAAAUAAAUAACAUUUUAAAUAAAAUUCGUUCUUAAAUUCCAGCCAAAAGGCGGUUAGAAGGGCUUUGAAUAUUUUUUAAAUAACAUGGACUCUCUUUCACUAACUAAUAACAAUUGAAAUGGUCAAAGACUAAUUUAAUAGUCGAUUAUUUGCUUUUUUGAAAUCUCCAAACUACGGUGCGCCCUUUCUAAUGCCGCGUCUGCCAUCGUCUUUGACACACGAGCAGUAGUGCUAACCCGGUCAGUAGUGAUGUCACAGGAAGUUGUAUGAAGACUUGGUUACCAUAACAACACGCCAACGGAGCUUGAAAGUGGAAAACAAAGAAAAAUAACAAGUUUCUAUUCCAAUCUCUGGUUACGACGAGUGUUUUAAAUCAAGUUUACGCACGAUCCAAUCAGUCGAGUAUUAAGAUCAUUGUUUAGCAGCCCUUAAAUCCACCAGAGCUCCACGCCCCGUUCUGACUCGUGUCAGGAGGAGAGUCUUCUUUGGUUAAGAUGCUCUUCAGCUCAGCGAUCAGAGCUCCUGAAUACACAUCCCUCUCCUCCCAGAUGGGUUGAAUAAAGGAUUGACAUUACCUGACCAGCAGGAAGGCGUCUGGAAGCAGCUCCGCAAACGCCGUCCGGUAAACGAUGGCGUUUUUCCUCUUGCAGUUCUGAAUGACGUCGUUGGCGAGAUACAGCAGGUUCAGGCGGUGAGACGAAUCAGCUGUUGGAAGGGGGGGGGCAUUCAGUCAGUCAUCAAUGAUCUUUAGGAAUCAGAAACGACUUUGAGGAAAAACGGAAAAUAACCUUUAAUGGAAAAUUACUACUAAUAAAAGAAAAAA
Molecule: long non-coding RNA, 834 nt
Organism: Oryzias melastigma (Indian medaka)
Lineage: Eukaryota; Metazoa; Chordata; Actinopteri; Beloniformes; Adrianichthyidae
Exons: 3
Source: RefSeq, a predicted model, not a curated record